Long non-coding RNA from Daucus carota subsp. sativus, 1544 nucleotides. RefSeq lists it as uncharacterized. Lineage: Eukaryota; Viridiplantae; Streptophyta; Magnoliopsida; Apiales; Apiaceae. The transcript has 2 exons. The record is from RefSeq and is a predicted model, not a curated record.
AAUCAUUUUCACCAGUUUCUCUGCACGAAUACCGAGAGAAACCGAAGUGUGUUCUUCGUGUUCUUCGUAAUCAAACGAGGAUUUGGAGGUGUUAUUGGAAUCCGAUGGAGGUGUAUGAAUAGUCAAAACGAAGCUAUCGACGUGUAGAUUAUAGUUUAAUCAUUCGUUUGUGUGCAGAUUCAACAGGAUUUGGACGAGUCGUGUACGCUCGAAGACGUCAGGAAGUCGAAAUGGUAUUGCAAAGCGAAUAAGGGAUGAAUCGAGUAAGCGAAGCGAUGUGGCGAAUAGAGUACGGCUAGAGAUGGUCUAGAAAUUAUGAUAUGGAUAGAUUGUGAAAGUGGAAAGAUGAGAUAGAGAUGUGAGACUGGAGUCAGAUUUAAGGCAAGUAUCCUAAACCCUUCUCUUGGAUAUAUUGCAAAUAUUCUGAUCCAUUCCUUUGGUAUUUGUUGCAAGAAUUCGUACCUUUCUUUUCUUUAUUUAAAAGUGCAUGUAUUCGGAUCUAUUCUUUUUAUUCUUCAAGUUUCUAAAGAAUUCCUGUUUUAUUAAUUAAUUCGAAGUUCAGAUUGUCAUUGGAGCAUGUGUUGCUCAGUGAUAGUUAGAAAUUAGAAUGAAUUGGGAUCUUCUUGAUUAUUCAACCCGCCAUUGUCAUGCUGGUCUAGCAGGCUAAAUUCAGUAAACUUAGCCGAUAAUGGAGGAUACUGAAUAGUUAGGGAUUUCCUGAACUAUGGUUUACGAAAGAAUGGACGGUGAUUUAUGAAAAGAUUAUUAUCAAAGUUUGAUUUGAAAUAUUUCUGUUAUUGAUAAUGAUUGUGAUUUUGUUCUGUUGAUAUACGUUGGUUUGUUGAAUUGAAUUAGAGAAUUGGAUUAUUGUUUUUAUAUAAACCUGUGGACCAGAUGAGUGGUCAUGUUAGGCCAAUGAGUGCCUUGGAUCCAGUGAUAGAGCAUGGCGGGGCCUGCUCGGGGUUAGUGCGGAACUGAUCAGCUGCCUAACCUUGGUUUUAAUUAAAAUGUGAUAGUCCAAUUCAAUAAUUCUUUGCAAAGAUUGAAUUUCUCAGUUUAAAUGCUGCAAGGUAUUGUAAAUCAUUCUAUACAAUACCAUGAAUUCAUGAACUCAGGUUGAAUCCUUUUAUAUCUUGAACUCGUGAACUUCUGUUAUAUCAUUUCAGAAUUAUCAUUGUUUAUUAUUACUUGCUGAGCAUUGUUGCUCACCCUUGCUAUUCCUUUCUAACCAUUUCAGAAAGGCUUAAAGAUGAGAUGAUUGAUUGAGAUUGUGAAUAAGGCUAAUGCUAGGCGAGGAGACAGAGUUGAGGAUCCAGUGAUCGAGGAGUGUUCAGGGAAGUUGAUAAGGUUGGUGCUAGCUAGAGUUAUGCUAUGAAGAUUCAGAUGUAAGUCAUGGCUGGAGUAGGUUGACAGUGAUUCUUCUUAUCGAAGAUGAUCUGAUUUGGUAAGAGAAGUUGUGUAAUAUUAGUGGUGGAUUCUAAUUUCAAUAUUGUAACCUGGAUGCGAUCCUGUUGUUUUAGGGGGUUCAAAUGUUCUCUUUCAAA